UUGAACGCUGGCGGCAGGCCUCACCCAUGCAAGUCGAGCGGAUGAAGGGAGCUUGCUCCUGGAUUCAGCGGCGGACGGGUGAGUAAUGCCUAGGAAUCUGCCUGGUAGUGGGGGAUAACGUCCGGAAACGGGCGCUAAUACCGCAUACGUCCUGAGGGAGAAAGUGGGGGAUCUUCGGACCUCACGCUAUCAGAUGAGCCUAGGUCGGAUUAGCUAGUUGGUGGGGUAAAGGCCUACCAAGGCGACGAUCCGUAACUGGUCUGAGAGGAUGAUCAGUCACACUGGAACUGAGACACGGUCCAGACUCCUACGGGAGGCAGCAGUGGGGAAUAUUGGACAAUGGGCGAAAGCCUGAUCCAGCCAUGCCGCGUGUGUGAAGAAGGUCUUCGGAUUGUAAAGCACUUUAAGUUGGGAGGAAGGGCAGUAAGUUAAUACCUUGCUGUUUUGACGUUACCAACAGAAUAAGCACCGGCUAACUUCGUG
Molecule: ribosomal RNA, 483 nt
Filed under: uncultured bacterium
Lineage: Bacteria
Description: partial 16S ribosomal RNA
Rfam family: Bacterial small subunit ribosomal RNA
Source: RNAcentral